AGUGAACGCUGGCGGUAGGCCUAACACAUGCAAGUCGAACGGCAGCACAGUAAGAGCUUGCUCUUACGGGUGGCGAGUGGCGGACGGGUGAGGAAUACAUCGGAAUCUACUUUUUCGUGGGGGAUAACGUAGGGAAACUUACGCUAAUACCGCAUACGACCUACGGGUGAAAGCAGGGGAUCUUCGGACCUUGCGCGAUUGAAUGAGCCGAUGUCGGAUUAGCUAGUUGGCGGGGUAAAGGCCCACCAAGGCGACGAUCCGUAGCUGGUCUGAGAGGAUGAUCAGCCACACUGGAACUGAGACACGAUCCAGACUCCUACGGGAGGCAGCAGUGGGGAAUAUUGGACAAUGAGCGCAAGCCUGAUCCAGCCAUACCGCGUGGGUGAAGAAGGCCUUCGGGUUGUAAAGCCCUUUUGUUGGGAAAGAAAAGCAGCAGGUUAAUACCCCGCUGUUCUGACGGUACCCAAAGAAUAAGCACCGGCUAACUUCGUG
This 492-nucleotide ribosomal RNA is filed under the name uncultured bacterium. RNAcentral's name for it is "partial 16S ribosomal RNA". It matches the Rfam family "Bacterial small subunit ribosomal RNA", at positions 29 to 507 of the family's 1533-position model. The record is from RNAcentral.